CCACUGACAGUCGGCCACGCCAUGUUGAAUUCAAUCAGUUGUCUGAUGGUCGUCUGUUAUUUUUUACCUUUGGAUAGGUGGUCGCGUCGGAAAGGAUGAUUCGGUAAUUGCGAUAAAUAAAAACAUAAAUGCCCAUAAUCUAAAUAGACUUUAUAAUCAGUUCGGGGCUAUUUAAUUAGAGUGUUCAAUGCGGUUCUAUUCAUAAUUAAUCGGCCGAUUUUAAUACCGAAAAGUGUAUGUGUAUGUGUGUGUACAGGGAGAUAAUCGAUUUGUCAACGCGAGGUUUAGAUUAGAAUUUCGGUUCAUUAAUUGACCCUAGGAGGUGCAAGUGAUGGUUAACAUGAAACCAUUCCCUGUUGCGACUAAUCCAAUCCAACGUUUCUUGGUAGCCGAAGUUAGUGUAAAUAGUGCGGUGUGAAUUUAUCGGUUUUGAUUAAUCGGAUGAGCCGAUAGAUCAUCGGGCAUUCACAUCUACCAUCUAGUUUCCCCUGGAGUUGGUCAACACUUAAGCCAGUUACGCUUUCCGGUAGUUGUAAAUGGUUAUUAAACGCGACAUGUGCCGUAGCGCGUUAUUGACUCUUGAGUUUUAAUUGCAAUUAACUAUUAACGUUCCAGUUCAUCAAAGUGUGGUUUCGAUCAUUGUCUAUUACGUUACCUACAUGAAAAUGUGUGUGAUUAGUGAAUUGGAACUUCUUGGAUAAUCAGCUGCAUUGAAGAUUAUUAGAUAACAAUUUCAGUGAAUUAUGGAAGUUGAUGAAGCUGUUGUGGAUCUGAGUCUGGGAACCAACAGUAUCCGUCAUUCUCCACCGCGACCACCUUCAAACGAAGUAUCCUCCACGAGUGAUAUUCAUCCACCUCCGCCACCAACUAUGGUGAAUUCAAGGCGAGUUCUAAGGCCGCGAACGGAGCCUCGCAGCUACGUGGAAUCGCCAGACGCUCUAAUAAAUGGCUCAUUAGAUAGGCGAUUGAAUGGAAGCGGUUUGGAAUUCGGUGAUACUGAUUCGAGCGAUGGAGAAAUGCCUCCGUUGCCUCCGCCCAUCAAAGAACUAUCACCGGAUGAGUUGAAGCAAAGGGACAGAGGCUUAAGAAGACUGAGAGAAGAGUUGCGGGCAGAAGAAAUGAAACUGGUCCUUUUGAAAAAAAUGAAACAGUCGCAACAGCUCAAGGAAAAUGUUCAAUUGCCUUCAGGUGUUCCGCCUUCCGCUUUGCCCCCAACGGGGCUACCUAGUGGCCUAAGUAUUACACCGACUAUUGUUAAGGUUCCUGUGGCUACUAGCAAAGGCCAAACACCGCAAGCUGCUCAUACUAGACAUCCUAGUACACCAAACGUGCAUCCAAAGAACCUCUCGUCUGGUGUACCAUCAUUACUAAGAGGGCAACCGUCUUCUACUAUCCGCAGUAGCGUCCAUUCGCCCCAAAUUACAGCAACUCCUUUGGGCAGUCGGGCUGCCAAUUUGUCAAUUUCUCAGCAAUCGCAACGUCCCGGAAGUAUGACUCGAGGACCACCAGGAUUUCCACCUGGAGUCAAAGACUUAUCGCCUUCAGUCACAAUAACACCGGCUCCUCCACAAGCUAUAAAGGAUCGAUCUCGAGAGGAUAAUCAAACUCCCGCUCAAAGGCAGGCGGCAGCCAAACUAGCGCUUCGAAAACAGCUGGAAAAAACACUGUUGCAGAUUCCACCACCGAAACCGCCGCCUCCAGAGAUGCACUUUAUUCCAAAUCCCAGCAAUACAGAAUUCAUUUACUUGGUGGGCUUGGAACAUGUGGUAGAUUUCCUUACUAAAGAAACGAAAAUGCCCUUACCGCCUCAACCUUACAGUUGUAGUCAGUGCAAUACCGACUUCACUCCUGUUUGGAGAUGGGAGCCGAAAAGCAAAAAUAAACCUGCAAAGGUUAUAUGUGAACAAUGUGUUACUAAUAACGUGAAAAAAGGACUAAAGGCUGAGCAUACUAAUAGACUUAAAACUGCAUUCGUGAAAGCGCUACAGCAGGAGCAGGAAAUUGAACAGAGACUAGCACAAAACGGUUCCUUUUCAACUAGCAGCCCAGCCCAAUCACCAUCAGGGCAGGAACCACCGGCGCCCAAAUCUGUGACACCGACGCCUGCUCCUCGAUUGGCUGCUACUCCUACGCCUCCUGCACCGCCUCCGCCUGCUCAACCGACGCCGCCUCCUGCCUCCUCAAGAGGCAGUCAUCAGACUAUGUCUCAAUCAGCGCAGGACAAAUACACCGCACAAAAUGCUGCUGCCAUGCAGGCGUUCCAACAACAAUUGAUCAGAAGUAUAGCACAAGGAGGUUCUCCGGCUGGAGCUCAUUUGAUGCAUCUGCCUUUGUUCUAUCCUUAUCAGUUGGCGAUGGCACAGGCUCAGGCUGCAGCUGCGAGCGGAAAAAGUGGAGUGGCCCCGAAUAUUGCGGAACAAAUGCAACGGGCCGCAGAUAUGCAGCGCCAGUACCUGUUAGGUAAACGCAAUUCCCAUAAGCAAAACCCACCGUUUUGACCAAACCCAACUGCUUUGCGAAAAAACGCUAGACGACAUUUGCUUGAUAUGUAUAUAUGAUUCCUCCAGCACCUGGACAGCGCCACAACUGGAAAACGUGAUGUGAUUAAGUAAUUAGAUAGGAAGUACACUGUUCAUAUGUCUGUUAUUUCCAAAUGUUUGCACUGGUUGAUUUUCGGAUCUGUUCUUCUAGGCGGUUAAACAUAAAUUUAACCUUUGUAGGCCCAAUCUGCAACGAUUUAUUAUGUAUGGGGGUUGUUCUACAAACACUAAUUUUUAAUGUAGUAGGAAUUAUUGUUUGGCAUUUGGCUGUGAUUUGAUGCAACAGGACGUACGACAUCAAGUGCUCGAAGUUAACGAAUAUGAAUUUUUCAUAAAACAUUACAUUUUCUGAAUAUCCGAUGAACUAACACUAAACUUAAUACGGGCAGGUUGUUGUCUUCGUUUGUAAUAAUUUAUUUCAUUUAGAUACUAACCGGUUGGAGCUAAAACAUGUAGAACACCCUGUAUAUAUUAGGACAACGAGUUCAGACAUUGGAAGUGUUGAAUUUUUGUUAUGAAGCGAUGUUUUUUUUUAAUCAGUCAAAUGAAGACAUUUUAUUUGGAGGUGCACAGUUCGAGCCAACAAAGCAGACUUUUAGUUAAUUAUAGGCGUUUAAGUUCACAUGUGUGGUUUGCGUAAUGGCUAAUUCCAUAUAUUAUUAUUCCAUAAUAAAUUAUUUAAGCGGUUUGAAAAAA
Dendroctonus ponderosae (mountain pine beetle) is the source of this 3236-nucleotide RNA transcript. It is a transcript of the gene named transcriptional repressor p66-alpha, with no coding region annotated. NCBI's taxonomy places the organism in Eukaryota, Metazoa, Arthropoda, Insecta, Coleoptera, Curculionidae. The transcript has 11 exons. The record is from RefSeq and is a predicted model, not a curated record.